GGGAAGGGAAGGAAGGAGGAAGGAAGAGCUUUACUGUGUGCCCAGCGGAAUUUAGGCGCUCUCACCCUAGUUGCAGAAACUUAUAAAAACAUCCCCCUGCUCUCCGUUGAGAGUUUCAGGAUAGUUUUUGAGGCCAGAGAAAGAGAAAAGAAGGAGAGAACACUAGAAAGAUAGGAGGAAAAGAAGUGGGAAGAAAAGCAGCUGCAGUCUACAAUGUAAGCCUCCAGGCUCCUUAGCCUCACCUUAUAAAGCCACAUCACCGCAGACACAGCAAAGAUCGUGCCCUUUCCCAGGGAGUUCCUACCGCCAGGGUAAGAUUUAAAGCGGCCACCCCAGUUGGUCACAGCGAUUGGCCUUUCUAUCUCCCCAAGUUCACCUUUUCCAGUUGGUCACAGCGAUUGCUGGGCGCCUUUCUAUCUCCCCGAGUCCACCUUUUUCCAUUCUUAUCUGAAAGCCAGCCCCAAAGAAAUCUCACCGGAAGUCCUCUGUCCUCCCUGUCAGAAUCCCACCCUCAGUCUGAAUUUACUCCCGAUUCUCACAGCACAGAAAGGCACCUGCUUUUACCCUUUCUGAAAACCACCCACCCAGGCUGGCCUUACAGCCUGGAGAGUCUUUUCCUCGGGCACAAUAAUGAACCAUGCAAGUGUUAGAAAUAUAAUCAGCUCAUGAGGCGAAGAGCAGGAUGUAUGGAAUUGUAUUAGCAUGAGGCACACACUGACUCGGGAGAAAGAAGGAUGCUUAGCUGGUGAAAACCAUCAUAUCCCCAUAUAGAGGGCUUUUUGCACGAUAUAAGUUGGGUUCAGAUUAAUGUAAGUAUCUAACCUGUUGGGUACAGACAGCCCCUUUCUACAUUUUAGUCCAGAAUAGAUUCUGGGGAAAUUUAUUUAUUUAUUUAUUUUUCAGCUAAGGCCCUGAGAGAAAAGACUGCCUCCAGGGAAUCAUGUCCGAUUAGGGACAAAGGAGGGCACAAGCCCAAUUCAGUCACACGUGAGAGCACGGGAGCCGGGUGGGGGGGGUGAAGAGUCAGCAGGGAAGGUGGAGGAUGAGCUUGCAAACCAGACUAUGGUCACUGCAGAGCUGCUUCCAGACCACCCGACUUCAGGCCCAAGAACAGGUGGUGUUUUCAAAACACACUGUUAUUUAUAUUGGCCAUAUAAGUUGAGAACACCUUAAAGAAAACAAUUAAUAAUUUAAUUGAAAAAGUGACUAUGAAUAAGACAUGAAGAUGACGUAUGCUAGCAGGACUGCAAGCAACGUGGCCCACAACGCAGAGAUGCCUCUGGCAGUCUCUUCAGGAAAACGAAGAUUCCUUACCUGGGAUAGGGGACAACCUCAUCAUCUGGUGACAUCAUGAUCCUGGUAGGCCCACAGACAAAUACCUUCAAUAAAAUAAAAGCUAGAAAGCCCAAAGAACAAGCUAUUAAAGUAACCUGGGAAGAUGCAGCAGUGCCUGGGCAGAAGGCCCGGAUGGGAUCUGCUCUAAACUGCCACUGUCCCAAGAGGCAGACCCUGCGACCUGCCUCCUGCACUUCAGAGGCCUGACAAGUAGAACUGAGAGUGACCCUGAGUUCCUUUUCUUUAUCUGGCACCAGCUAUACACAUGAUGAGGCCUAGUCAAGCCUGCCUUUGUUCCAGGCAAAAAUUUAACAGGUAAUCCACAGGCAGGUGAUCUAUGGCCUCUGUACAUUAUGGAAAUGAGGGACUACACAGAAGCUGGGCGUCACCUCUACUAAAACUCAUUUUCCUUAUUCAUAAAAACAAUACCUCUCCAGAGGGAAUUGGCAACUUCUGCACUUACAUAUGAAAUCAGGAGUUUCUCUGAAAUACUCCUUGCAAAUUCUAUCCUCCAGCUCUGGAAGCCCCGGCUCUUCGGAGGGCAGCUGCCUGAUGUUAAACCCACGGCCUACCCAGCAGUGACAGCCUGACGUUCUCAUCGCUCCAUCCUGAACACUGCUGACAAAUAAACCCACUCUCAGAAAAGGCAAUUCUUCCCUCGCAGUUCUCCAUACCCAGUCUCAUCUCAUCUGGAAAGUGUAAUUGGCAACAGCCGAAAGGAUAAAUAUUUAAAAAUAAAUCAGGGAGUGCUAACCCCUUCCCUACUCCUCCCCUUACCCACUCUCCAAGCCAGAGGCCUGCCCCCUAACGCUGAGCUGGCUGGUAAAUUACAAUGACUCCACCGAGCCAAACCUGCUUGUCUCUCUCUCUCUCUACACAUACACACUUACUAAUGCUGUAUCCUUCCACUUUUGCAAAGGUAAAUAUGAUCUCUAAGAUACAGUGGAUGUCAGCAUUCUGACUUCCAGCUUAACCUGGGCUCUCUUUUCACAGUACAGCUGGGUUUAGACAGAUUUGUGCACCCUUCCGGGUUCUUCUAUUUUUAUUAAAUUAUACGUAUACAUUGAUUUAAAAAACUAGUGCUUAAAUAACCUGGAGGCUUUAACAAAGAAAAAUCCAGAAGAGGGCAAGAAACAAAAACAAACGUUCCUGAAAUAAACAAGGAACCAUUUGGAGCUCAAUUUCGCUCCAUGGCCUGCGUUCACCCCAUGAUUUUGAGGCAGUUAUAUUUAGGGGCCUGGUACCCGCUAGGUGGCCAGGCCCUCCUGGGUAUGGAACAGAAUGCAGACGUUCCUCAGAACAGCUCACAUUUGCCUUCAUAACCAUUGGAAGCUGGUGUGCCAAGGCCUGCACACAGAUGUUUUGAUUCACAUUUUUCUGCUGAAGGCUCAAGGCCUCCAUCCAUCCCUACAGUGCUAAUUCCAUAGAUUAAUUUUUACCCCCAAAUCAUAGGUGGAACAUUAUCUAAUUUCCUAACCCACCCUCCCCAGCUCAGGUGCUAAAUCUGUCAAUGAUAUCCCACAAGAAAGAUACAAAUGAAUAACCAUUUUUUAAAAGCUGUGAUUUCGGAGAGUUUUUCUAAAUUAAUUUUAAGUUACAAAGCCCCAAGUUUUAAGAAAGCCAAAAUACAGAAGUUGCCUUAAAACAGCUUUACAUGUUAGGUAAAGAGCUCUCUCUCUCUUUCUCACUCCUUCUUUUUUAAACAAAAAUAUUAUUUCUGAAAGGGCAAAGGGAAUUUGCCAUGCAAGACUUUUAUACCCAGGGGGAUUCUUACAUUUGUGUUUCUAAACCUUGAAAUUGAGAAUUUUAAUGAAAAGGCGGACAGAUGCUUAAGGACAGCAUCGCAAUCUGGGUCCAUACAUUACAGGAGAGAGAAGCGCUUUGUUUGGGGCCAAGUAAAAAGAGGUGGACUCCUAUUUUGUUCAUAGGCCAUCCCCACCGUCUGACACAUCCCUUUACAGUCGGUCUGAUGCUAACCACUGAAUUCUUGGAGGGGAAGCAGGUUGGAAGGAGAAGAAAGGAAAAGGGAAACAGAAGAGGAAAAGAAAUGGGCAAUGGGAUACUGCCUGUUUAUAUAAAUUGUAGAUUAAAAAAAAAAAAUCCCAACACAGUAUCCAUUCCAUAGUAUGUACCAAGAGCACUUUCACACGUGAGUUAAAACGAUCCAUUAAAUGCUAUAUCGAAAGUACAA
Molecule: long non-coding RNA, 3526 nt
Organism: Pongo pygmaeus (Bornean orangutan)
Lineage: Eukaryota; Metazoa; Chordata; Mammalia; Primates; Hominidae
Exons: 3
Source: RefSeq, a predicted model, not a curated record